RNAcentral lists this ribosomal RNA (492 nucleotides) under uncultured bacterium. RNAcentral describes it as "partial 16S ribosomal RNA". It matches the Rfam family "Bacterial small subunit ribosomal RNA", at positions 29 to 507 of the family's 1533-position model. The record is from RNAcentral.
AGUGAACGCUGGCGGUAGGCCUAACACAUGCAAGUCGAACGGCAGCACAGUAAGAGCUUGCUCUUACGGGUGGCGAGUGGCGGACGGGUGAGGAAUACAUCGGAAUCUACUUUUUCGUGGGGGAUAUCGUAGGGAAACUUACGCUAAUACCGCAUACGACCUACGGGUGAAAGCAGGGGAUCUUCGGACCUUGCGCGAUUGAAUGAGCCGAUGUCGGAUUAGCUAGUUGGCGGGGUAAAGGCCCACCAAGGCGACGAUCCGUAGCUGGUCUGAGAGGAUGAUCAGCCACACUGGAACUGAGACACGGUCCAGACUCCUACGGGAGGCAGCAGUGGGGAAUAUUGGACAAUGGGCGCAAGCCUGAUCCAGCCAUACCGCGUGGGUGAAGAAGGCCUUCGGGUUGUAAAGCCCUUUUGUUGGGAAAGAAAAGCAGCAGGUUAAUACCCCGCUGUCCUGACGGUACCCAAAGAAUAAGCACCGGCUAACUUCGUG